GGCGCGGUAGCCAAGUGGCAAGGCGAAGGUCUGCAAAACCUUUAGCGGCGGUGCGAUUCCGCCCCGCGCCUCCA
This 74-nucleotide transfer RNA is filed under the name Acidobacteriota bacterium. RNAcentral describes it as "Acidobacteria bacterium tRNA-Cys". It matches the Rfam family "tRNA". Rfam says of the family: Transfer RNA (tRNA) molecules are approximately 80 nucleotides in length. Their secondary structure includes four short double-helical elements and three loops (D, anti-codon, and T loops). The record is from RNAcentral. RNAcentral also lists the same sequence under 1 other name. Lineage: Bacteria; Pseudomonadati; Acidobacteriota.